Molecule: transfer RNA, 76 nt
Filed under: Iodidimonas muriae
Lineage: Bacteria; Pseudomonadati; Pseudomonadota; Alphaproteobacteria; Iodidimonadales; Iodidimonadaceae
Also listed under: 3 other names
Description: tRNA-Lys
Rfam family: tRNA
About the family: Transfer RNA (tRNA) molecules are approximately 80 nucleotides in length. Their secondary structure includes four short double-helical elements and three loops (D, anti-codon, and T loops).
Source: RNAcentral
GGGCCGUUAGCUCAGUUGGUAGAGCAACUGACUUUUAAUCAGUAGGUCGCAGGUUCGAAUCCUGCACGGCUCACCA